Molecule: long non-coding RNA, 631 nt
Filed under: Cricetulus griseus (Chinese hamster)
Lineage: Eukaryota; Metazoa; Chordata; Mammalia; Rodentia; Cricetidae
Description: lncRNA (ENSCGRG00015031898.1)
Source: RNAcentral
CUGGCCCAGACACUCACAGGAGAGCUGUCCCCACCCUGCACUUCACUCAGGAGAGAUGGCCCACCCCUUACCACACAAGAGGGAGAACCGACCUUGAUAUCAUGGAUGUGAACUAGUUCCAUCCCCUCAUCAGAGACUGACCAGCCCAGCUACCACACAGCCCCACAGCUGGGCCUUGGGUUGGCCCAUCGUAACACCUACCCCAUCUAGGACCUGCUGGAGUAUGUGAAGAGACUGGUCCUGUGGAACUCUAUUCCCACGAUCCUCAUGACUCAGGGCAACCUCCGGAUAUCCUAGAGGAGUUUUGGUGAGGAUCCAGAGAUGAUGAUGGACCAGAAACCAGAAUUCUUGAUCCAGACCAAUGACUCCUUGCAAUGAACAUUUGCUAGUAAAGCUGAUAGGACAAAAAUUGGGAGCUAUGUGUCACACAGCUCCCAAUGCCACCAGGAGGUAUGAAGAGGUGUUGGAGAGGAGAAACUCUGAUUUUAUUGGAUUUAAACAGAUCUCAUGUUCAUCAAGAUGCUAGCUGUGUGAACUGGAAUGAGAGAAGCAGGUAGAGGGACAAUCACUCUGGGAGGCUCAGCUGUGAGAGGCACACCCAGUUUCCAGUACUGGCAUAGCAGCUCACAAC